UACGGAGGGAGCUAGCGUUGUUCGGAAUUACUGGGCGUAAAGCGCGCGUAGGCGGCAAUGUAAGUUAGAGGUGAAAGCCCGGGGCUCAACCCCGGAACAGCCUUUAAGACUGCAUCGCUAGAAUCCGGGAGAGGUGAGUGGAAUUCCGAGUGUAGAGGUGAAAUUCGUAGAUAUUCGGAAGAACACCAGUGGCGAAGGCGGCUCACUGGACCGGUAUUGACGCUGAGGUGCGAAAGCGUGGGGAGCAAACAGG
Molecule: ribosomal RNA, 253 nt
Filed under: uncultured bacterium
Lineage: Bacteria
Description: partial 16S ribosomal RNA
Rfam family: Bacterial small subunit ribosomal RNA
Source: RNAcentral